Molecule: long non-coding RNA, 1965 nt
Filed under: Drosophila guanche
Lineage: Eukaryota; Metazoa; Arthropoda; Insecta; Diptera; Drosophilidae
Source: RNAcentral
CUGCGCUUGCUUUUCCACUGUGUUGUCGUUGUUGUUGUUCUCGAGUGCAAUCUCCUUUGAAAGGGUCCUGCAGGAAUGACAGUAGAGUGAAUUUGAAUUUGUUCUGAAAACAUACGCUAAAGGUGGUGUUGCCCCCUGCCCGGUGUGAUAAAUCGUUGCUUAUGCAAUCGAGUGUUGGCAUAUUUGCUCGAGUGGCAUGCAACAUGCUCCAUAGAGUGCACUCGGGUUUCUUGGGGGCAUCUUCCCAACUGGUACAGUCUCAGCCAUAUCGGUGCUAUAUCCCCCCAUCGCAUUCCACUCCUCCGCUCUUAGGGGUCAGUCGUAACAGUUUCGGUUUCCAUCUGUAAGUUUCAGCUGCCGGGAGCACUUAAGUAAUUGUAACUACUUGCCCAGACUGAUAUUGCCUAUUUCACAAAUUAUUAUGAGGCCCAUUUGGAGGCACAUUCCCCCUGCCAAUGCCAGCCCACACCACUCCACAGCAGAGUCCCCAGAGCUGUUGUUACGCCUGUUGUUUAACGGCUUGAUGCCAAAAAACGACGCCAACGAUGGCUAUGAGCCUCAUCGCAUUCAAUUAUUUCGGCAUUGUGUUUUCCUUUUGCCAUCUCUCUGUCCUCUUCAGUAUCUCGCUCCGUCUCUAUCUAUCUGUCUGUCUGCCUUUCAGUCUAACUGUUACCCGGGAAAAAGCAAACGCCCGCAGUCUGAUAGUGGGUGGAGGAGGAGUCGUCUAAACAGGCCGAAGGUUGAAUUGGUGUUGGAACUGUUUCGGUGCGUACGCCAGAGUUUAAUCUUAUCGGCGUGCUAAGAUCGCCUCGUACACAUUUCGGGGUCCAGAACUACUUCAUUUGACUCCAGCUUCCUGUGCCCUUGGCCCUCUCUCCGCACUCUUCUGGCAAGUGGCAAGUGCGAGUGCGAGUGCGAGUGCGGGAGCGUAUUGCAUAAUUUCACAAUUUUCCAUUUGAUGCUCGUUUUGUGCCCUGCCGCCGCCGUCGAGAUGUUUGUCUAAUCAACUGUCAUUUGUUUGACGUUUCCCUCAGGGAAGACACCAACGACACAACUCCAGCUACGAUGCGGAUGGGACUGUGGCAAUGAGUCUGGGUGGAGGCUUAGCUGGAGGGGAGUUAGACGACGCACUGAGACCUGGAACGCACCAGGACGCAAUGCACAGCACAUCGUGAGCAGUGCCACUCUUGUUGAUUGCUGCGGGGUGUGUCUCCCAGAGACACUGGCUACAAAAAAGUUAAAAGCCAAAUGUGUGGUGCCUUUGCCUGUGCCUUUUCCUUCCCUCUCCUCAGCCUCCCUCUGUGUCGAAGCAGUGACAAUGACAGCGAAACGUAAACGCAAAGCCAAAUGUUGUUUUCAGUGAAUUUGAUGACUUUUAUGUGUGCUCCGACAAGAGAUCAGACGUUUAAGAUGUCCAUUGGGGUGGCAGUGGCCCAUUGUCAUCCGGUGAUUGUUGGUUUUACGGUUACUGUUGCUGCUUGUCGGCGGUUUAGAUCCUUUGUACGACUUGUUUGCCGGCCACGGCAAUUGGCCAAAGGCGCUUAAAAUGAUUUCUAAUUAGCCAACAAUGCAAAGGCACACCUGGGAGUGGAAUUAUCCAACGCUGCUUAAUCGAUUAUGGGCAUUUUAGUCAUGGGAUUAUGCUCUUCUAUUUCGACAAGUAUGCAAUUGUCGGCGUUUGUCUUGGCCGCGUUCAUUAGCCGAACGUGAUGAGAUUUUGGCGCUGGGCCUUCGUCGAAUUGUGGCACAUAAAUUCCAAUUAUGUCAAAUGUAAUAUUUUAAUAAACACUUUCGCAGAGGCCGCACCGCACAGCAGCGGGGAAAGUGGUAGAGCGCAAUAAAUCUUUCGGCUCUUGGCCGUGUCAGAACGGGCAAGCGGCGCAAUUAAUUAACGCCUCAUUAAAACUCGAACCCGAACCCGAACCCGAAACCGACUCCGGGACCCGUGCACGUAGCGGGCCACAC